RNAcentral lists this long non-coding RNA (554 nucleotides) under Agrilus planipennis (emerald ash borer). RNAcentral describes it as "uncharacterized LOC112906558". Lineage: Eukaryota; Metazoa; Arthropoda; Insecta; Coleoptera; Buprestidae. The record is from RNAcentral.
UACAUAUUAUGAAAAUGUUUUAGUCUGUUUCCACCAUUCCAUGUAUUUUCGAACUUUGUGAAAGAAAGCAUCAAUUGUUGGAAAGAGCAGCAAAGAACGACUUCGCAGCCAAUACUCGUGCAUUGCCUCUCCGGUAAUGGAAGAAGUGGUCUGUUUUGUUUAUUAACUACAGCAAUAAUUGAAUUUUUAAAUAAACCAACGAAUAUACCAGAUUUACUAGCUAUUGCUUCUGGUAUAACUACCGCUCGAAAGAAUAUUUUGCGUGAUAGGGAACAUCUUAAGUUUGCAUUUCAGGUUUUUCUACAUUAUCUACAAGAUAUUCAGUUAACAAACUUAGGAGUGAAAAGUGCACCAGAAACUGAAAAUUUUGGAAAAGAAAAACCGUUAGAAAAGCCUACAGAUAAUACAGAUCCUUUAAGCACUUUAGACCCUUUAUGGGCAACAAAAAGAAGUAAAUAAUUGAUCCAUAAUUUAAACAUAUUCGCUUUAUAAACUGAUUAAUCUUCAAGAUUUGUUACUUUUAUUUGGGCACGAAUAAAAAUGAAAUAUUAAUA